UACCAGGCUUUUAAAGACAUC
This 21-nucleotide non-coding RNA is filed under the name Caenorhabditis elegans. Lineage: Eukaryota; Metazoa; Nematoda; Chromadorea; Rhabditida; Rhabditidae. The record is from RNAcentral.